UGGUCUAAGUGUUUCCCUCACCCUCAAUGGAUUCCACUCUUUUUGCCGUGGGAUCUCGCCCAGUCCACAUAGGAAAAAGUAAUAAAAACCGGAAACAAAUCAAAUAUGGUUGAAGUUUAUGCCGUCUGAAAUUCUUCCAUGGCUGCCACAGCUACUCCUUCCUUCCCUAUCUGCAAACAACUCUAUUUCACUCCUUCUUCCAUUCCACUCACCCUUAACAUCCCACACAGACCCAAACCCCCAAAACCCCUCAACCUUAAACCCAAGCUCUUCAGCCCUUCUUCUCUCUCACUCUACCGUUUCCACCUACCUUCAGUGUCGUUUCAUGGAUUCCAAGAGACUGAAGAAGAACCUGAAUCUGAAACCUUCCAAAAUUCAGAGCCAAAGGUGUCACACUCAAACCAAUCAAGGAGGCUCUUUGUGGGAAACUUGCCUUACUCAUUGUCUUCCUCUCAGUUGGCUCAGCUCUUCGGAGAGGCUGGUGAUGUUGUCUCUGUGGAGGUUGUGUGCGAUGACUUUACGGAUAGAAGCAGAGGAUUUGCGUUUGUUACGAUGGGGAGUGUGGAGAAUGCUGAACAAGCAAUUCAAAUGUUUGAUGGCACUCAAGUUGGAGGUAGGAAUAUUAAGGUAAACUUCCCUGAAGUUCCAAAAGGAGGCAAAAAGCGAAUGACGGGUUCAAACUAUAGUGUCUACGUAGAUAGCCCUCAUAAGAUCUAUGCUGGAAACCUUGGCUGGGGUCUGGCUUCCCAGGGCCUUAGAGACGCUUUUGCUGAGCAGCCGGGCUUCCUGAGUGCCAAGGUCAUCUAUGAAAGGAACAAUGGAAAAUCUCGAGGAUUUGGGUUUGUCUCUUUUGAAACUGCUAAAGAUGUAGAGGCUGCUUUAAAUGCUAUGAAUGGAGGUUCAAGGCAGGCCCUUACGACUCAAUCUGGCUGCAGAUAAGAAGCCUAUAUCUCCUUUUGUAAUUGAUGAAAUGGAAGAGAGUAACGUUGAUAGGUUGGAAAUCCUGUUUGGUGUCAGCACAUGAGAUGAGCUUGAGCUGUUCAUAAGUCGACCCAACAACUAGAAGUGAAGCUCAAUUGUGCAAUGGUGGUCUUGUGACUUGAUGGGAAAGAGGAAAAACAAUGAUGAAUUUCAGCUGGCUCUUUUAUGGCUGUCCAAGGUGGAAGGAAUCAGGUGCUUCUAAAUUUGUGAGCUGACACUUCACAAUUGUCUGAAGUUGAGAAACCAAGCAACAGCCAAACAUCGGAUCAAACGAAAGAAAUUUUAUGAGCUUUUAGAGAAAACUCGGAGACUGAAUGCUGAAGUAACUCGAAACAAAGAGAGUUUAGGUGUGUUGUAUCCGUUGACGACUUGGAUUUUUGUAGGGUAUUUCAUUAUCUUUUCAUUUCAUGUUUGAUGUAGUGUAUGAAAUUGUAGUUUGUUGUGAGUUUAGGUGAAUCAAUGUCUACGAGAGUUUAGCUGUCAUAGGUCUGAAUUUUGAUGGAUUUUGGCUUUAAUGUGAUUCUGGAAACUGUGAUAUGUUGCUUUAAUAUAAAUGUCUAAAUUUUUAGGCAUUUUAGAUCUCUAAA
RNA transcript from Lotus japonicus, 1568 nucleotides. It is a transcript of the gene named RNA-binding protein CP33, chloroplastic-like, with no coding region annotated. The transcript has 5 exons. NCBI's taxonomy places the organism in Eukaryota, Viridiplantae, Streptophyta, Magnoliopsida, Fabales, Fabaceae. The record is from RefSeq and is a predicted model, not a curated record.